UAUUUUUAGGUUUACACAGUUUGAAUUUGUUUACACAAUAUUUAUACAAACUAACAUGUCACCCUGAAGGAGGAAAAACCAUGUAAAUUCAUACCCUCUUUUACACGCUUUCUAAAAAUGCACAGGAGGUAAACAUUUAGUAAACAUGACAGAAAAAAGAGAAAGAAGGAAGUUAUUAACUACAUCAAACUAAAAAAAAUAAAACAUAUAAAAUAUAGUUGAAUCACAACUUUUUUAAAUUGUGAUUUUUCUCCCAUUAUUGUACUACUAUUUAGUAAGCAGUAUAAUUAAUAGUUUCAUACUGCAUCCAUCAUGCAUAAAUUACUUCCCUGUAUUUCUACUCCGUUCAAAGAGUCACUGACGCUCACGAUGACACAUGCACACAGGUACACACAAAAUAGAUCUUUAUAUACCCACAGAGUCACACAUCUGGAUCAAAGAUAUCAUAAUAGCUUAGGUUAUACAAGUUUUUCUCUCUGAGCGAUUCAUAUGAUCUUUCUAAUUCUGAUCCAUCAUUUAUAUAAUUUACUUUUGUUUUUUAGCUACAAUGUUUUCCACAACUUAAUGUCUCCUUAGAUUCAAAUCUACUUGGAAAUGGGCUAGUGCCAAAGAAGCAAUCUAACACCAUCUAUGUGGUUCAAUAGCCAUUUAUCAAUUGAUCAUUAUCUCUAUCUGGUUUUAUUAACUCUUUUCUAGCUAGAGGGAGACCUAAACCAAUCUUCUCUUCCAAACACACACACACAGCCCUGACUUCCACUAACUCACAGGAAACCCUGAUAGUGACAUCUAAUUUGUAAAGUGUGGCACAAGUUAUUUAGUCUUAAGGUCAGUGAAGACACACUCGUGUCCCAACCACGAAGAGAGCCACCCGGGCAGUGACAUGCCGCGGAAACACACCUCUCAAAGCACUCCGCAAUGACAAGGAGUAUCUCUGGGAGGAAAUGACCGUAACUUGCAAGAAUGAGAAAUUGCACAUAAAGAGUUGCUUAUUUGGGUUUAUGUUGAUUGCAUUUAAACCCUAGCUUACUGUAUCAGCAGUAAUCAGGGUCCCUCUACAGGAUAUGUCAAAAUACACCUUAUUCAAAUGAAUUUAUCUUAUCUAGAAUUGUGUGAUAAAACUGUUCGCUAGCUAAAUGCUACAAAACCCUGGCUCUGUGCACAAUUUUCUGCAGAUGCAUUUCUAAACUUGUGGUAGCUUUAUUGGCUUGCAAAUUGUUUUCCUUCUUUAUCAAAUACUUUAAAAACCUAAAUUAAGUCAAUAAACUAAUUUUCAUGAACUAUUGCAAACAAGUUUGUUUUUUUAAAAGGAAGUAGUUGCAGUAUUUUUUUAAGUGAGUGGAACAACAUUAAUUUCUUAACCGCCAUCUGCUUAAAAUCCAAGUAUUUGUCAGUAAUACUUUGUGCUGUGUGAACGAUAUCAUACAAACUCUUGCUUUGUGUGGGUUUGGGGUAGGCUUUUGAAAAGCAAGACGUGUCUAGGAGGGAGGCACCAGGGAACUUCCCUCCCUCGCUUGAGCACAGUCCAAGAUGAAAGUUUCUGGGUUGUUUCCCUUCGCUUCCUCUCACCCUCGCUCCCCCUCGGAGCCGCAGAGCCAGCAAUUGUGCAAGAGGAGCCGGGUGCACAGGGCGCGUAUCACGGAGCGCAUGGUACGAGCCGCCGGCUCCGGUGAUUAAUUAUCAGUGGCCGCUGGCCUCGCACUAACACCUCGGCUUUCCCGGCACAGCCAGCACACCCAGCCGCCGCCGGCGCGGCCCGGACCGAGGAGCGGCUCUGGGGAGGACGCAGAGGCUGCCGCCCGAGUGAGCCCUUUGGGAAACCAUGAAGUAACCCUGCACAUUCCAGCAACACAGUUAUGACAAAACAGAGACCAACUAUGAAGAGAUCAAAAAUUUUAAAUGUUUAGGAAGAAACAUAGCAGAAACAAAAGUUUAAGAAUCGUAAAUACUAUGGCUAUGUGUUGCUUGCCCACAUUUACUGAUAGUAAGAGAUGUACCACGGAAAUUAAGAAGUACACCAAGUCUAAGUGGCACCCAAGUUAUUAACGACAAAAUGGGAAUGUGAACACCUCCACCUCAUAACACAUAGCAGAAAUAUACUUACACAAAGUUAAGAAACUUAUAUAGUUUACAAUGUUAAAAUAGACUGAAAAAACUGAAGAAAAAACUACAGCUUUUGGAAGUGAUUUCUAAUACUUAUGAUGUUGAACAUUUAAACUGUAUUUUCACGGACUUUAAUAAAAUUCAAUUUAUA
Molecule: long non-coding RNA, 2251 nt
Organism: Pteropus alecto (black flying fox)
Lineage: Eukaryota; Metazoa; Chordata; Mammalia; Chiroptera; Pteropodidae
Exons: 3
Source: RefSeq, a predicted model, not a curated record